CACGUAGGGGCCAAGCGUUGUCCGGAUUCAUUGGGCGUAAAGAGCUCGUAGGCGGUUCAGUUAGUCGGGUGUGAAAUCUCCGGGCUCAACCCGGAGGGGCCACCCGAUACUGCUGUGACUUGAGUCCGGUAGGGGAGUGGGGAAUUCCUGGUGUAGCGGUGAAAUGCGCAGAUAUCAGGAGGAACACCGGUGGCGAAGGCGCCACUCUGGGCCGGUACUGACGCUGAGACGCGAAAGCGUGGGGAGCAAAAGGG
Molecule: ribosomal RNA, 254 nt
Filed under: uncultured bacterium
Lineage: Bacteria
Description: partial 16S ribosomal RNA
Rfam family: Bacterial small subunit ribosomal RNA
Source: RNAcentral